UUGGGAACAAUGUGUAGCAUAAGUUUGUCAGAAUUUUCGAAUGUUACAAUUAGGGAUGGGUGUUCGGUACUUCGGUUCAGUAUUUAAUAACUGUAGUUCGGUACUUCGGUAUUCGAUAUAUCAAUUGUGCGUACUAAAUACCGUACCAAAGUAGUUCGGUAUUUUCUUAUUUGGUUCGGUACGAUUCUGUAUCAUACCAAAGUCUUUCAAAUCUCCCAAGAAUUAAGAUUAUGCCUAACGUGAAACGUCUCUUCUUGAGCUAAAUCUUACUUCGAUCAAGUUGUUCAAGCUUCUAAAAUGUAGUAACAACAAUGUGUUAGGAUAUGAUGCUAUAAUAAAAGAGGAAUAUGUAACUAAAAUUAAUUAACUACAUCAAUGUAGUCACUGCUCCUCAAAUGUACAGCUAGAAAAUAAAUUGUGUAUUAUCCUAUAUACAAAAUUUUGAACUAUAGAGGCCAAUGUGAACUACUCGCCGUGAAAAGAGAAAAUGGAAAACUAUGGAGCAAACGAAGCAAGUGCAAAAUAUUCAAGGAUUCAUUUGUCGAACUCCCAAAUGACUCCUCCAUCCUCUGCAACUACAAGACCAAAUAACUAUAAGUAACUACACAUCUCUUUUAAGGAUAACAAAUCCAGUUGGUAUUUAAUUCUACCCACCUGAAUAAAUGAAGAAGAACAACUUAAUUGAAAAUAUUCAAGACGUCUGGUCCAUUAAAGAGAAAGAUAUAAAGUAGCCUUAUAUUACUGCUUACUGAGAAAAUCACUAUCAAAAUUUCAACACCUCAACUGCUGCUUACAAGGGCAAUAAAAUCACUAUCAAAAUUUCAAGAAAAAAUAAAGAAGUUGAAGAAUGAAGAAGGCGAGAAGUUGUAAACCUGUUGAAGAAUGAAGAUUGAACAAUGACUGUCAGUCGCCGAUGAGAGAACUGAGAAGUCGUCAUCGCCGAGGUCUCUGUCGCACAAUCGGCAGUCGAAGGCUCGAACUCGAACUCACAGGUCACAGCGGGUCAGCAACAGAGCUUUUGAGAAUUGAGAGAAAGGUGAGAAAUUGAAAAUUCCUAUCCAGCCCUAGGUAUGCUAAUUCCUAAUUUUCUAUCGUUAGUCUAAAUGAGGUUGGACUUGGGCCUAAGGGUAACAAAUUAGAUUUGGGCUCAACGGUAUCAUCUUUGUGUUGGGCUGCCCUGGACUAUUUGAAAUUGG
This 1196-nucleotide long non-coding RNA is filed under the name Nicotiana tabacum (common tobacco). Its description in RNAcentral is "long non-coding RNA (NTAB_LNC004465)". The record is from RNAcentral. Lineage: Eukaryota; Viridiplantae; Streptophyta; Magnoliopsida; Solanales; Solanaceae.